This 89-nucleotide ribosomal RNA is filed under the name Alphaproteobacteria bacterium. RNAcentral also lists the same sequence under 1 other name. The record is from RNAcentral. Lineage: Bacteria; Pseudomonadati; Pseudomonadota; Alphaproteobacteria.
CCUGAAUCCAUUUCGAACUCAGAAGUGAAAACGCUUAGCGCCGAUGAUAGUGCGGGGUUUCCCCGUGCGAAAGUAGGACACUGCCAGGC